This 182-nucleotide non-coding RNA is filed under the name Reticulomyxa filosa. RNAcentral describes it as "Bacterial large subunit ribosomal RNA". It matches the Rfam family "Bacterial large subunit ribosomal RNA", at positions 1 to 189 of the family's 2925-position model. Lineage: Eukaryota; Foraminifera; Reticulomyxidae. The record is from Rfam by way of RNAcentral.
GAUCAAGUGCAAGAAGGGCAUUCGGUGGAUGCCUUGGCGCUAAGAGGCGAUGAAGGACGUGGUACGCUGCGAUAAGUCAUGGGGAGCCGCGAACAGGCUUUGAUCCGUGAAUUUCCGAAUGGGGAAACCCACCCGCAAGGGUAUCGUGCACUGAAUACAUAGGUGUACGAGGCGAACCCGGG